RNAcentral lists this microRNA precursor (57 nucleotides) under Monodelphis domestica (gray short-tailed opossum). Its description in RNAcentral is "microRNA mdo-mir-12410 precursor". Lineage: Eukaryota; Metazoa; Chordata; Mammalia; Didelphimorphia; Didelphidae. The record is from miRBase by way of RNAcentral.
AAGGAAACUGAGAUCCAGGAGGAGAAAGUGACCUUUCUGGGCCUCAGUUUCCUCCUC